CACGUAGGGCGCAAGCGUUGUCCGGAAUCAUUGGGCGUAAAGCGCGCGUAGGUGGCUUCGUAAGUCCGUUGUGAAAGUCAAAGGCUCAACCUUUGAAAGCCGAUGGAUACUGUGAAGCUAGAGUACGGAAGAGGCGAGUGGAAUUCCUGGUGUAGCGGUGGAAUGCGCAGAUAUCACUUGGAACGCCAAUGGUGAAGACAGCUCGCUGGGGGUGUCCUGACGCUGAGGCGCGAAAGCCAGGGGAGCGAACGGG
RNAcentral lists this ribosomal RNA (253 nucleotides) under uncultured bacterium. Its description in RNAcentral is "partial 16S ribosomal RNA". It matches the Rfam family "Bacterial small subunit ribosomal RNA", at positions 524 to 776 of the family's 1533-position model. The record is from RNAcentral.